This 738-nucleotide long non-coding RNA is filed under the name Gallus gallus (chicken). RNAcentral describes it as "lncRNA (ENSGALG00010023705.1)". The record is from RNAcentral. Lineage: Eukaryota; Metazoa; Chordata; Aves; Galliformes; Phasianidae.
GAGCUCUCGUGCACCACGUCUUUGCCUGGCAGCCCCAAUCCCAUUCCUCUGUAGAUGGGAGGAGCUCACCCAUACCCAGCAUCUCUGUGCAGGGACACAUGGCUGCAGGGAGCUACGACUGCCUGAAAGGAGCACCUGUCUGGAGGAGCAAAGCUUGGUGUUAAGACGCAGGGCGAGGAGCGAAGGGGAAGAGCGCACGCCAAGGUCACAUCUGCAGCAGCAGCGACGGCAGCUGCACAGCAGCGAUAUUAAACCUCCCUCUGGUGUAGGAUACACACACAGACACUUCUUAAGAGCAACAACGAUCCACAUGAAUUGGAGCAGUCCCCAGAGGAGAGCUGCGUGGCUGGCGUGGCAGGGGGUGACUGAAGGGCACACAGUGAGGGUGGGAGCAGCGUGCCCGGCUGUAGAUGAGAGAUUCUCAGCUUUAUCACCCCCAAGUUUGGCAGUGAUUUGCAACUGGGGAGACGCUCAGCUCACCGCUUGCAAGGAAGCAGUGUGACCUGUGCCAAGAAGCAACGAGCAUCAGAAGGUGGAUAUUUCAACUGAACCUCCUGGGUGGAAUCGGAGAACAGAGGAAAAGGGGAGAGCAAGCGACAGAUGCCCACUGCUGCAAAGUACCGUUCAGCAUCUCCCAAAGGGUGAUCCAUCAGAAGGGACGUGCUGCUAAUCAGCAUGAAACCGACACACGUCACAUCCCCACAGAGCACAACACAGUGCAGAACAGCUCCGCAGAGA